GAUGAACGCUGGCGGCGUGCCUAAUACAUGCAAGUUGAGCGAGGAGGGUUGACGGUAGCCCUCGGUUGAAAGGCAUUGAACGGGGGGGUGAAGGGUGGGGAAACUGCCUUGGAGCGGGGGACAACAUGUGGAAAAGAAUGCGAAAACGACAUAACAACUUGCAAAAUAAGAUAGAAGUUUGAAAGAUGCAAUUGAAUCACUCAAAGAUGAUAGCGCGUUGUAUUAGCUAGUUGGUGAGGUAAAGGCUCACCAAGGAGAUGAUCCAUAGCCGACCUGAGAGGGUGAUCGGCCACAUUGGGACUAAGACACGGCCCAAACUCCUACGGGAGGCAGCAGGAGGGAAUCUUCGGCAAAGGACGAAAGUCUGACCGAUCAACGCCGCGGGAGAGAAGAAUGUUUUCGGAACGUAAAACUCUGUUGGUAGAGAAGAACGUUGGUGAGAGUGGAAAGCUCAUAAAGUGACGGUAACUACCCAGAAAGGGACGGCUAACUACGUG
This 497-nucleotide ribosomal RNA is filed under the name uncultured bacterium. RNAcentral describes it as "partial 16S ribosomal RNA". It matches the Rfam family "Bacterial small subunit ribosomal RNA", at positions 28 to 507 of the family's 1533-position model. The record is from RNAcentral.